This 191-nucleotide unclassified non-coding RNA is filed under the name fungal sp. RNAcentral describes it as "partial internal transcribed spacer region". The stretch from base 1 to 46 matches the Rfam family "Eukaryotic small subunit ribosomal RNA", at positions 1786 to 1831 of the family's 1831-position model. The record is from RNAcentral. Lineage: Eukaryota; Fungi.
AAGUCGUAACAAGGUUUCCGUAGGUGAACCUGCGGAAGGAUCAUUACCACAAAUUAUCUAAUAUUCUUCUGUGAACCUAUUAUAAAUAUCGUCGUUUUUUACGAUGAUGCCAUAUUUUUUCCAAACUUGAUAUUUUUCAUCAUAUAUAUAAAACUAUGAUAAAACUUUUAGCGAUGGAUGUCUAGGUUCUC